This 405-nucleotide ribosomal RNA is filed under the name uncultured prokaryote. Its description in RNAcentral is "bacterial SSU rRNA". It matches the Rfam family "Bacterial small subunit ribosomal RNA", at positions 355 to 774 of the family's 1533-position model. The record is from RNAcentral.
UGGGGAAUAUUGGGCAAUGGGCGCAAGCCUGACCCAGCAACGCCGCGUGAGGGAAGAAGGUCUUCGGAUUGUAAACCUCUGUCCUUGGGGACGAAAAAAAUGACGGUACCCAAGGAGGAAGCUCCGGCUAACUACGUGCCAGCAGCCGCGGUAAUACGUAGGGAGCGAGCGUUGUCCGGAAUUACUGGGCGUAAAGGGUGCGUAGGCGGCAAUGCAAGUCAGAUGUGAAAUCCCCGGGCUUAACUCGGGGGGUGCAUUUGAAACUGCAUAGCUUGAGUGCAGGAGAGGAAAGCGGAAUUCCUAGUGUAGCGGUGAAAUGCGUAGAUAUUAGGAGGAACACCAGUGGCGAAGGCGGCUUUCUGGACUGUAACUGACGCUGAUGCACGAAAGCGUGGGGAGCAAACA